This 408-nucleotide ribosomal RNA is filed under the name uncultured bacterium. RNAcentral's name for it is "partial 16S ribosomal RNA". It matches the Rfam family "Bacterial small subunit ribosomal RNA", at positions 29 to 526 of the family's 1533-position model. The record is from RNAcentral.
AGUGAACGCUGGCGGCGUGCCUAAUACAUGCAAGUCGAACGGAGUGGCGCACGGGUGAGUAAUAUAUAGCUAAUCUGCCCCUUGCUGGAGGACAACAGUUAGAAAUGACUGCAAAUACCCCAUAGCAAGGGAUGAGACUAUAUCGUAUCAUCUAGUCGGUGGGGUAACGGCCUACCGAGGCUCUGACGCGUAACUGGGCUGGGAGGAUGAUCAGUCACAUGGGAAUUGAGACACUGGCCGAACUCCUACGAGAGGCAACAGUAGGGAAUAUUGCGCAAUGGGGGAAACCCUGACGCAGCAAGGCCGCGAGGAGGAUGACACUGUUCGCAACAUAAACUCCUUUUGUUAGGGAAACGGUACCUAACGAAUAAGCGCCGGCUAACUCCGUGCCAGCAGCCGCGGUAAUUC